UACGGAGGGAGCUAGCGUUAUUCGGAAUUACUGGGCGUAAAGCGCACGUAGGCGGAUUUUUAAGUCAGGGGUGAAAUCCCGAGGCUCAACCUCGGAACUGCCUUUGAUACUGGAGAUCUUGAGUCCGGAAGAGGUAAGUGGAACUGCGAGUGUAGAGGUGAAAUUCGUAGAUAUUCGCAAGAACACCAGUGGCGAAGGCGGCUUACUGGUCCGGAACUGACGCUGAGGUGCGAAAGCGUGGGGAGCAAACAGG
Molecule: ribosomal RNA, 253 nt
Filed under: uncultured bacterium
Lineage: Bacteria
Description: partial 16S ribosomal RNA
Rfam family: Bacterial small subunit ribosomal RNA
Source: RNAcentral